RNAcentral lists this ribosomal RNA (497 nucleotides) under uncultured bacterium. RNAcentral describes it as "partial 16S ribosomal RNA". It matches the Rfam family "Bacterial small subunit ribosomal RNA", at positions 28 to 507 of the family's 1533-position model. The record is from RNAcentral.
GAUGAACGCUGGCGGCGUGCCUAAUACAUGCAAGUCGAGCGAACGGACGAGAAGCUUGCUUCUCUGAUGUUAGCGGCGGACGGGUGAGUAACACGUGGAUAACCUACCUAUAAGACUGGGAUAACUUCGGGAAACCGUAGCUAAUACCGGAUAAUAUUUUGAACCGCAUGGUUCAAAAGUGAAAGACGGUCUUGCUGUCACUUAUAGAUGGAUCCGCGCUGCAUUAGCUAGUUGGUAAGGUAACGGCUUACCAAGGCAACGAUGCAUAGCCGACCUGAGAGGUGGAUCGGCCACACUGGAACUGAGACACGGUCCAGACUCCGACGGGAGGCAGCAGUAGGGAAGCUUCCGCAAUGGGCGAAAGCCUGACGGAGCAACGCCGCGUGAGUGAUGAAGGUCUUCGGAUCGUAAAACGCUGUUAUUAGGGAAGAACAGAUGUGUAAGUAACUGUGCACAUCUUGACGGUACCUAAGCAGAAAGCCACGGCUAACUACGUG